This 1453-nucleotide long non-coding RNA is filed under the name Felis catus (domestic cat). RNAcentral describes it as "lncRNA (ENSFCAG00000051365.1)". Lineage: Eukaryota; Metazoa; Chordata; Mammalia; Carnivora; Felidae. The record is from RNAcentral.
CCAAUGAGAAACAAAUGAAUAUGCAGUGAUUCGCCACUUGCUGUAAACGCAUCGCCAACAAUUCCCGCUGCUGUGUUCUCUUCUGUUUUUAUCAUCAAUUAAAAAGGCUCUGUUUCGUUAGGGGCAUUUUUGCCCCCUCCCGAAAAUGGAAAGAAGCAGCAAACAGCCCUCGGAGAAGGCACAAAGCUCUUCUGAGAAAUGUCUAGCAGAGACAGCUUCUUACAGUAACACUUUAUUUUAAUGGUCCUUUAAUGCAGAAAUUGACCAUGGUCGUCCCUCUUAGGCCUCAUUCACCCUAAAUAAAAAUGACCUUGUUGCCAGAGAUAGGUCCUAACAAGGUAUCAACCCCGGGGGUAGCCCAGGGGAGGCAGCGGGGCAAGAGAAAUGCCCUCUCUCUGCCACGGCUGCAGUUCCUGCCUGUGACCUUGCACCCUCCCAUCCAGCUUUCCAUUUCCUUAUUUAGAUGAGGCUCCCUUAUACUCGGAGGGAACGAUUCCUCUGCUGAGACUCCAUGGCUAUCAGCUUUCUGAGAAGUGGUUUGUUCUUCCAAGAAACCAAAGGGAGCCUGGUUGGUGUGCGUGCUGGCUUGUGGCUGAGCCGAGGGAGCCAUGGAGGGCAGCUCACGACGGACCAUCAGGACACCGGGCUCCUGAGCCCUCGACAUCCACUCAUCACGAGCGGCAGGUUGAAGGCUGAACCACUGAACAAGAUAAUGAGAAUGUGUGAGGACCCUGGUUCGACACCUGCCCUGUGUUGAGAAGUGUUGGAGAAGGGGGCUGCCGGGAGAGACACAGUGCCCUCAGCCCAGAAAUGGUAGGUAGUCCCUUUCAGAAAAUAAUUACCAAAUUACCAAUAAUAAUAAGUUGAAAACAUUAUAUUUUGCAUUAUAGGGUUUCUAAGAAGAAAGAGAAUUGUAAAGCUCUGAUCCUUUAAAACGCUGGAGAAAGCUCCUGGGAGGAAGUGAGACUUGUCUGAGGGCUGAUAGAAGAAUGAGUAUCAUUAAAUGCACUGGAAAAAGAAGAUCAUUCCAGGGACAAGACUUUACAGAAGUACCGACGCGAGAAUGAGGGGUCCAAACUCUCUAGAAGACUCCAAUGAAUGGAGACAGGCCUCAGUCAAUUUUACACCAUGAGUGCAAAUUUAAGCUGGAUUAGUCUGGCCCUGCUAAGUACCUUGCUCAGGAACUGAAAUAUUAUAGCUGCAACAUGGCUAGCAGAGGAAAUGAAAUGGAAGCCCAUAAACCCUGAAGUGGAUAGCAGGAGCGCAAAUUCAGAGAACGAAGCAAAGUUUUAUUUUGGGGCUGUACCAUAAAGGUGACUUAGGUAGACCCAAGGGCCAGGGUUCUGUGUGCAUGUGUGCGGGCCCUUAGUGAUCAUUAACUUUGGAGGGGGAAAAAAAAAUGUUACAUGGCCCUGCAAAUAAAAAUGAUGAAGGUAUUUCUUGUAGCUAUUUC